RNAcentral lists this long non-coding RNA (336 nucleotides) under Elaeis guineensis (African oil palm). RNAcentral's name for it is "long non-coding RNA (EGUI_LNC056765)". The record is from RNAcentral. Lineage: Eukaryota; Viridiplantae; Streptophyta; Magnoliopsida; Arecales; Arecaceae.
AUCAAUAGAAAAGGGUGCACAAUGUAUAUCCUAAAAUCCAUGAAAAUUCCAAAAUAAAUUUGGAUAAAUUCGAUGCAAAAUUGAAAGAGUUUUGGAUUUCUAAAACUCUAUCUCAUAGAAUUCGAAAUCCAAACUUAUUCCUUUUAGAUUUGAUCCAAACCACCUUCCAUGUAAGAAAGAAGAGAGGAGACCUUUUGUGAAUGUGGGAGAGAUCUGAGAGAGGGCUUUUGUCACACAAAAUAAGUGGAGAUUGGCAUUGAAUAAGAGCGAGGGUGUGGAGAAGGCUUAUGUGGCGCAAGGUGGAAUCCUAGUCUUACUAGGAUUCUGUCUUAUGAC